UAUCCGGCCUGAGAGGGUGAACGGACACACUGGAACUGAGACACGGUCCAGACUCCUACGGGAGGCAGCAGUAGGGAAUAUUGCUCAAUGGGCGCAAGCCUGAAGCAGCAACGCCGCGUGGAGGAUGAAGGUUUUAGGAUUGUAAACUCCUUUUGUCAGAGAAGAUAAUGACGGUAUCUGACGAAUAAGCACCGGCUAACUCCGUGCCAGCAGCCGCGGUAAUACGGAGGGUGCAAGCGUUACUCGGAAUCACUGGGCGUAAAGAGUGCGUAGGCGGGGUUGUAAGUCAGAUGUGAAAUCCUAUGGCUUAACCAUAGAACUGCAUUUGAAACUACAACUCUGGAGUGUGGGAGAGGUAGGUGGA
This 364-nucleotide ribosomal RNA is filed under the name uncultured Helicobacter sp. Its description in RNAcentral is "bacterial SSU rRNA". It matches the Rfam family "Bacterial small subunit ribosomal RNA", at positions 284 to 665 of the family's 1533-position model. Lineage: Bacteria; Pseudomonadati; Campylobacterota; Epsilonproteobacteria; Campylobacterales; Helicobacteraceae. The record is from RNAcentral.